RNAcentral lists this ribosomal RNA (234 nucleotides) under uncultured bacterium. RNAcentral describes it as "partial 16S ribosomal RNA". It matches the Rfam family "Bacterial small subunit ribosomal RNA", at positions 96 to 334 of the family's 1533-position model. The record is from RNAcentral.
UGGCGGACGGGUGAGUAAUGUCUGGGAAACUGCCUGAUGGAGGGGGAUAACUACUGGAAACGGUAGCUAAUACCGCAUAACGUCGCAAGACCAAAGAGGGGACCUUCGGGCCUCUUGCCAUCGGAUGUGCCCAGAUGGGAUUAGCUAGUAGGUGGGGUAACGGCCCACCUAGACGACGAUCCCUAGCUGGUCUGAGAGGAUGACCAGCCACACUGGAACUGAGACACGGUCCGG